GUUUACUCCUGCAGAGAAAGAUGUGCCUAAAAGAGAAGCAGCACCUACCUGGAAGACUCAGGAGACAAAGAGGGAAAGAGUGGGACACAGUGGAUUAUGCUCACCCUGAGGGUUAUCUGAGAAGAUUUCUGAGAACCUGAGAGUCUCAAAUGCCUGAGAGGUGGGAGCUGCAUAGAGAGGAACAGAAAUGAAUCCCCAAGAUUUCCUGGGCUGAGCCUAACAGGAUAUGAGAAGCAGAAACUUCUGGAUUGUGAGAAGAAACAAAGGAAGAAGAGAGAUGCUCUAUAGGAGAAAAAUCACAGACAAUAAGUGGGGAGAGCAAGAAGACA
RNAcentral lists this long non-coding RNA (329 nucleotides) under Homo sapiens (human). RNAcentral describes it as "HSALNT0034642". The record is from RNAcentral. Lineage: Eukaryota; Metazoa; Chordata; Mammalia; Primates; Hominidae.